CGGGUUGUAAAGCCCUUUUGUUGGGAAAGAAAUCCUAUCGGUUAAUAACCGGUGGGGAUGACGGUACCCUAAGAAUACGCACCGGCUAACUUCGUGCGAGCAGCCUCGGUAAUACUAAGGGUGCAAGCGUUACUCGGAAUUACUGGGCGUAAAGCGUGCGUAGGUGGUGGUUUAAGUCUGCUGUGAAAGCCCUGGGCUCAACCUGGGAAUUGCAGUGGAUACUGGAUCACUAGAGUGUGGUAGAGGGAUGCGGAAUUUCUGGUGUAGCAGUGAAAUGCGUAAAGAUCAGAAGGAACAUCCGUGGCGAAGGCGGCAUCCUGGGCCAACACUGACACUGAGGCACGAAAGCGUGGGGAGCAAACAGGAUUAGAUACCCUGGUAGUCCACGCCCUAAACGAUGCGAACUGGAUGUUGGGUGCAACUUGGCACCCAGUAUCGAAGCUAACGCGUUAAGUUCGCCGCCUGGGG
Molecule: ribosomal RNA, 468 nt
Filed under: uncultured Pseudoxanthomonas sp.
Lineage: Bacteria; Pseudomonadati; Pseudomonadota; Gammaproteobacteria; Lysobacterales; Lysobacteraceae
Description: bacterial SSU rRNA
Rfam family: Bacterial small subunit ribosomal RNA
Source: RNAcentral